CGCGGCGCUGCCAUAAACACGGCAAGAUGGCGGCGCUCACGCCGCCCGCCCGCCCGUGCUGCGUCAUGUCGCGCCCCGGCCCCGCCGCGCCCGCAGGCUCGCCGGGAUCCGCGUUCAAACCGCGCUGGGGAAGAUGGAGAUGUGAGGUCUGUGUGGCUUUAGUCCGGCUGAAGCAAAGCAAAAAUCUGUGUGUGAGAUGCAAGACAACAAACUGUGUUUGUACUGGGGGAAGAGCUGAAUCCUCCAGAGAAAAUAUCAUCAGCCCUUGGAAUAGGGGUGUGACUCCAACACUUGCUAUGCCACAGGGUGCUGGGGAGGAAUUGUUCACUUUCUCCCUUUAAAACCCUGAUAAGGAGCUGCUGGAGCACGAGUAAAAUCCUGAUAGAGUGAUCAAAGUAUGCUUGAAUUGCAAAGCAGUGAUUCUUCUCUCAUCACCUCAGCCUGUGAGAUGUAGAAUUCCCAAUCCCACACUUAAGCCAUGCUGAAAUCGGUACAAUUCCUCACCUGGAAUACCAAUGGUGGUGUGAAAACACCUGGGAGUGAGAGAGAGCCAAGGGCUCAUUGCUCAUGCAGCUCCUUUUCAAAACCCACCCUUGCACAGCCAGAAAACAUUAAUAUUUUUAGCGAGUUUUUGUUGUGCUUUCCUAGCAACAGCCAAUUCCUUAAUGAUUAAUCCCCAAACUGUGGCAAAUCUGCAAAUUUGGGGAUGCAUGCUGAAGUCAUCUGUGCUGCCUGACGUCAGCAUUGCAUAAUCUGUUGACUGUCCCCUUUUUAUGUAAUGUAUGUUUGGAGUUUGUUUUAAAAUGUGCAAAUGUUUUUUUUUCCCCUGCGUGCUGCUCCUCCUGUAUUCCACGUUUGCCUCUCCAUUGCCCUCUGGAGUUGCAAACUUGUAAGGCAGCGUUUCCAUGGCUGGAUCCAGCCGAGUUUUUGUGUUUCUCUCUUAAAAACAGCCUCUGGAACAUCUCAGCACCUUCUCUUUGCCAGGUGAGUUAUUUAGAGUGUUAAAAAAAAAAAAACACCAAUUUUUGGAAUUUCUGCUUCCUGCUGGUGGAAACAUGGAAGCUUCUUGUGCUGCUCCAUCAACAUCAUAAAUGGACUUUUAUUGGAAACUUAGUUACACAUUAACUUUGGCACCAUGAAACUGUUGUGUUUUUUUAAACUCAUUUCAGAACUUGAUGUAUCCAAUUCCCUCAGGCAAUGUGGAGGUGGUAGGAAUAAUUUUGGGAUGUUUUCAGGAAUGCCUGGUUUUAGGGAAGAAAAAACCCAACAGGGGGCAAAGUUGUAGAAAUACACAACAAUGUGGGGGUGGAGAAAUAGUUCUAUGAUCUUUUCAGCAGUGCCUGUUUUUAAGGAAGGAAAAAAAAAAUGGUGGGGAGUAAAUAUAGAUUGAUGGAAGCUUGUAAUUUAACUAAUUACUGGGAUUGUGUAUUUCAAAUGUUUUUAUGUGGAUUUGCUGACCUAAAAAUGCCAAGUUGGGCACCUGGAGGCUGUUCCCUGUGAGCACAGCUGGCUCUGGGAGCUGCUGCCCUCGGAGGGGACAGCCAGGAUCAGCCCUGCUGGCUCUGGAGACACACGUGCCAAGCUCCAGAG
RNAcentral lists this long non-coding RNA (1590 nucleotides) under Taeniopygia guttata (zebra finch). RNAcentral's name for it is "lncRNA (ENSTGUG00000021113.1)". The record is from RNAcentral. Lineage: Eukaryota; Metazoa; Chordata; Aves; Passeriformes; Estrildidae.